AGUAACGGCGAGUGAAGCGGCAAGAGCUCAAAUUUGAAAUCUGACCUUCUGGUCCGAAUUGUAAUUUGUAGAGGAUGCUUCGAACGUGGUCUGGUCUAAGUUCCUUGGAACAGGACGUCAGAGAGGGUGAGAAUCCCGUAUGUGACUAGGUGCCUAAGUUCAUGUGAAGCUCCUUCGACGAGUCGAGUUGUUUGGGA
Molecule: ribosomal RNA, 197 nt
Filed under: Epiglia sp.
Lineage: Eukaryota; Fungi; Ascomycota; Leotiomycetes; Leotiales; Mniaeciaceae
Description: partial large subunit ribosomal RNA
Rfam family: Eukaryotic large subunit ribosomal RNA
Source: RNAcentral